AGUCGAACGGUGAAGGAGAGCUUGCUCUUUGGAUCAGUGGCGAACGGGUGAGUAACACGUGAGCAAUCUGCCCCUGACUCUGGGAUAACAGUUGGAAACAGCUGCUAAUACCGGAUACGAGACGUGACCGCAUGGUCGACGUUUGGAAAGAAUUUCGGUCAGGGAUGAGCUCGCGGCCUAUCAGCUUGUUGGUGAGGUAAUGGCUCACCAAGGCGUCGACGGGUAGCCGGCCUGAGAGGGUGACCGGCCACACUGGGACUGAGACACGGCCCAGACUCCUACGGGAGGCAGCAGUGGGGAAUAUUGCACAAUGGGCGAAAGCCUGAUGCAGCAACGCCGCGUGAGGGACGACGGCCUUCGGGUUGUAAACCUCUUUUAGCAGGGAAGAAGCGAAAGUGACGGUACCUGCAGAAAAAGCGCCGGCUAACUACGUGCCAGCAGCCGCGGUAAUACGUAGGGCGCAAGCGUUAUCCGGAAUUAUUGGGCGUAAAGAGCUCGUAGGCGGUUUGUCGCGUCUGCUGUGAAAACUGGAGGCUCAACCUCCAGCCUGCAGUGGGUACGGGCAGACUAGAGUGCGGUAGGGGAGAUUGGAAUUCCUGGUGUAGCGGUGGAAUGCGCAGAUAUCAGGAGGAACACCGAUGGCGAAGGCAGAUCUCUGGGCCGUAACUGACGCUGAGGAGCGAAAGGGUGGGGAGCAAACAGGCUUAGAUACCCUGGUAGUCCACCCCGUAAACGUUGGGAACUAGUUGUGGGGUCCAUUCCACGGAUUCCGUGACGCAGCUAACGCAUUAAGUUCCCCGCCUGGGGAGUACGGCCGCAAGGCUAAAACUCAAAGGAAUUGACGGGGACCCGCACAAGCGGCGGAGCAUGCGGAUUAAUUCGAUGCAACGCGAAGAACCUUACCAAGGCUUGACAUAUACGAGAACGGGCUAGAAAUAGUCAACUCUUUGGACACUCGUAAACAGGUGGUGCAUGGUUGUCGUCAGCUCGUGUCGUGAGAUGUUGGGUUAAGUCCCGCAACGAGCGCAACCCUCGUUCUAUGUUGCCAGCACGUAAUGGUGGGAACUCAUGGGAUACUGCCGGGGUCAACUCGGAGGAAGGUGGGGAUGACGUCAAAUCAUCAUGCCCCUUAUGUCUUGGGCUUCACGCAUGCUACAAUGGCCGGUACAAAGGGCUGCAAUACCGUAAGGUGGAGCGAAUCCCAAAAAGCCGGUCCCAGUUCGGAUUGAGGUCUGCAACUCGACCUCAUGAAGUCGGAGUCGCUAGUAAUCGCAGAUCAGCAACGCUGCGGUGAAUACGUUCCCGGGUCUUGUACACACCGCCCGUCAAGUCAUGAAAGUCGGUAACACCUGAAGCCGGUGGCCCAACCCUUGUGGAGGGAGCC
RNAcentral lists this ribosomal RNA (1384 nucleotides) under Microbacterium sp. HP8E. RNAcentral's name for it is "bacterial SSU rRNA". It matches the Rfam family "Bacterial small subunit ribosomal RNA". The record is from RNAcentral. Lineage: Bacteria; Bacillati; Actinomycetota; Actinomycetes; Micrococcales; Microbacteriaceae.